Molecule: ribosomal RNA, 1011 nt
Filed under: Chryseobacterium sp.
Lineage: Bacteria; Pseudomonadati; Bacteroidota; Flavobacteriia; Flavobacteriales; Weeksellaceae
Description: bacterial SSU rRNA
Rfam family: Bacterial small subunit ribosomal RNA
Source: RNAcentral
UUAAUACCCCAUAAUAUAUUGAAUGGCAUCAUUUGAUAUUGAAAACUCCGGUGGAUAGAGAUGGGCACGCGCAAGAUUAGAUAGUUGGUGAGGUAACGGCUCACCAAGUCAGCGAUCUUUAGGGGGCCUGAGAGGGUGAUCCCCCACACUGGUACUGAGACACGGACCAGACUCCUACGGGAGGCAGCAGUGAGGAAUAUUGGACAAUGGGUGAGAGCCUGAUCCAGCCAUCCCGCGUGAAGGACGACGGCCCUAUGGGUUGUAAACUUCUUUUGUAUAGGGAUAAACCUACCCUCGUGAGGGUAGCUGAAGGUACUAUACGAAUAAGCACCGGCUAACUCCGUGCCAGCAGCCGCGGUAAUACGGAGGGUGCAAGCGUUAUCCGGAUUUAUUGGGUUUAAAGGGUCCGUAGGCUGAUUUGUAAGUCAGUGGUGAAAUCUCACAGCUUAACUGUGAAACUGCCAUUGAUACUGCAAGUCUUGAGUGUUGUUGAAGUAGCUGGAAUAAGUAGUGUAGCGGUGAAAUGCAUAGAUAUUACUUAGAACACCAAUUGCGAAGGCAGGUUACUAAGCAACAACUGACGCUGAUGGACGAAAGCGUGGGGAGCGAACAGGAUUAGAUACCCUGGUAGUCCACGCCGUAAACGAUGCUAACUCGUUUUUGGGCUUUUGGGUUCAGAGACUAAGCGAAAGUGAUAAGUUAGCCACCUGGGGAGUACGAACGCAAGUUUGAAACUCAAAGGAAUUGACGGGGGCCCGCACAAGCGGUGGAUUAUGUGGUUUAAUUCGAUGAUACGCGAGGAACCUUACCAAGGCUUAAAUGGGAAAUGACAGGCUUAGAAAUAGGCUUUUCUUCGGACAUUUUUCAAGGUGCUGCAUGGUUGUCGUCAGCUCGUGCCGUGAGGUGUUAGGUUAAGUCCUGCAACGAGCGCAACCCCUGUCACUAGUUGCCAUCAUUAAGUUGGGGACUCUAGUGAGACUGCCUACGCAGUAGAGAGGAAGGUGGGGAUGA